This 23-nucleotide non-coding RNA is filed under the name Cricetulus griseus (Chinese hamster). Lineage: Eukaryota; Metazoa; Chordata; Mammalia; Rodentia; Cricetidae. RNAcentral also lists the same sequence under 1 other name. The record is from RNAcentral.
UUUAAUAUCUGAUACGUCCUCUA